UACGUAGGUGGCAAGCGUUAUCCGGAUUCACUGGGUUUAAAGGGUGCGUAGGCGGACAGGUAAGUCAGUGGUGAAAUCUCUGGGCUUAACUCAGAAACUGCCGUUGAUACUAUCUGUCUUGAAUAUCCUGGAGGUAAGCGGAAUAUGUCAUGUAGCGGUGAAAUGCUUAGAUAUGACAUAGAACACCGAUAGCGAAGGCAGCUUACUACAGGAUGAUUGACGCUGAGGCACGAAAGCGUGGGGAGCAAACAGG
This 253-nucleotide ribosomal RNA is filed under the name uncultured bacterium. Its description in RNAcentral is "partial 16S ribosomal RNA". It matches the Rfam family "Bacterial small subunit ribosomal RNA", at positions 524 to 776 of the family's 1533-position model. The record is from RNAcentral.